CAGAGACUUGGCUGUCAGCACUGCACCACUGGAGGGUUCCUUAUGCUUGCGAACCAGUUAGAUUCUAUACACAUAUGAAUCUUCCUCAUAUUCGAAUAUCUGAAUGUCAGACUCAAGCUGAUGAUAUAUGAGGUAUGGUCCUCGCUGUAUCAAUCAAGUCCCAUUGAAAUAUUGAAACGUUGUUCAUACAUCUUUGAAUGACCUUUUAUGUGCUGACAAUAUGUUCUGAAAUGAAGAGAUUUUACCCCUGAUGAAGUCUUGGAACAAGACGAAACGCGUUGGGUUAUUUAUCUAUCUAUUAUCUGAUGUUACCUCCGAAUCUACAAUAAGGAGAAGGAGGAAAUCGUAGUGAUAUAUCUACGCUUUUUCCUCAUCACUACAAACUGAUUGUUCAAAUUGUGCGACAAAUGUAAAUGUAUCAACUCUGUAUACUUAUGAACAUUUGUGUCGGGUUUAUAUGUUGUUUUAAUAAAUUUUUAUGUUAGUAUUUGUUAUCUGACGUAAUUUAUCCGGAGAGUACUGUGAGGGUCCGUUUUUAGGUAGGGCGUUGAUAUAACUCCCUUGGCGCCAUCUCCUCUAUUUCAUUUCAUAUUUUCACACAUUUAGUUCCUCCUAACAGGGAACUUAGAGGAUACAGGCAGCCAUAUAAUUAAUUAAUUUUAGUGUUU
Molecule: long non-coding RNA, 668 nt
Organism: Pseudophryne corroboree (corroboree frog)
Lineage: Eukaryota; Metazoa; Chordata; Amphibia; Anura; Myobatrachidae
Exons: 2
Source: RefSeq, a predicted model, not a curated record